GACAGAGGUGCCGAGCGUUAGGCGGAAUCACUGGGCUUAAAGCGUGUGUAGGCGGAUCUGUAAGUACCUUGUGAAAUCCCACGGCUCAACCGUGGAACUGCUUGGUAUACUGCGGGUCUUGAGCCACCUAGGGGCAAGUGGAACAAAUGGUGGAGCGGUGAAAUGCGUAGAUAUCAUUUGGAACGCCAACGGAGAAAUCAGCUCGCUGGGGGUGUGCUGACGCUGAGACACGAAAGCCAGGGGAGCGAACGGG
RNAcentral lists this ribosomal RNA (253 nucleotides) under uncultured bacterium. RNAcentral's name for it is "partial 16S ribosomal RNA". It matches the Rfam family "Bacterial small subunit ribosomal RNA", at positions 524 to 776 of the family's 1533-position model. The record is from RNAcentral.